GACGGAGGUCCCAAGCGUUGUUCGGAAUUACUGGGCUUAAAGCGCGUGUAGGCGGGUCCGUGCGUACCUUGUGAAAGCCCCUGGCUCAACCAGGGAACUGCUCGGUAUACGACCGACCUCGAGGCAGGUAGAGGCGCCUGGAACCUUAGGUGGAGCGGUGAAAUGCGUAGAUAUCUAAGGGAACGCCGGUGGCGAAAGCGGGGCGCUGGGCCUGUCCUGACGCUAAGACGCGAAAGCGUAGGGAGCAAACGGG
Molecule: ribosomal RNA, 253 nt
Filed under: uncultured bacterium
Lineage: Bacteria
Description: partial 16S ribosomal RNA
Rfam family: Bacterial small subunit ribosomal RNA
Source: RNAcentral